AGCUGUUACAGAGGAAGCAACAGAGACACUUUAUGAGAGUGAUGAUGGAAAUGCAGAGGAAGAGGGUCCAGCCACUUCUCCAACAAACCUUUCCUCACUCCCUGUAAAGCAGCUGUACAAGACCUAUUUGAUCAAGAAAAUAAAAAAAUGCGACUUGGAAAUGGAACACUUCAAGCAGCAGAUCCAAAAGACCAAGAUUGAGAUUUUACUGCUGGAACAUCAGUUAAGGGAAAUACAGGCGACCAAUAAAGCCAGUUGAACAAAAAAUCUGUUUAUUCUUCUUUCAACAUGUUGAGGUGAUGGG
Oreochromis niloticus (Nile tilapia) is the source of this 304-nucleotide long non-coding RNA. RefSeq lists it as uncharacterized. Lineage: Eukaryota; Metazoa; Chordata; Actinopteri; Cichliformes; Cichlidae. The record is from RefSeq and is a predicted model, not a curated record. The transcript has 4 exons.